This 445-nucleotide ribosomal RNA is filed under the name uncultured bacterium. RNAcentral's name for it is "partial 16S ribosomal RNA". It matches the Rfam family "Bacterial small subunit ribosomal RNA", at positions 354 to 796 of the family's 1533-position model. The record is from RNAcentral.
GUGAGGAAUAUUGCGCAAUGGAGGCAACUCUGACGCAGCCAUGCCGCGUGCAGGAAGAAGGCGCUACGCGUUGUAAACUGCUUUUAACCGGGAAGAAACCCCAGGACGUGUCCUGGGUUGACGGUACCGGAGGAAUAAGCACCGGCUAACUUCGUGCCAGCAGCCGCGGUAAUACGAAGGGUGCAAGCGUUAUCCGGAUUCAUUGGGUUUAAAGGGUGCGUAGGCGGAGCGUUAAGUCAGUGGUGAAAUCCUGCAGCUUAACUGUAGACUUGCCAUUGAUACUGGCGCUCUUGAGUGCGCUUGAAGUGGGCGGAAUGUGCCGUGUAGCGGUGAAAUGCUUAGAUAUGGCACAGAACACCAAUUGCGAAGGCAGCUCACUAAGGCGAUACUGACGCUGAGUCACGAAAGCGUGGGGAUCGAACAGGAUUAGAUACCCCAGUAGUCC